RNAcentral lists this long non-coding RNA (199 nucleotides) under Elaeis guineensis (African oil palm). RNAcentral's name for it is "long non-coding RNA (EGUI_LNC044915)". Lineage: Eukaryota; Viridiplantae; Streptophyta; Magnoliopsida; Arecales; Arecaceae. The record is from RNAcentral.
AAUUUUUUUAGCUGAAUUACAUGUGAAAAUACGGUUAAAUUUAUUUACAUCUAAGGCACAGUACAAGACAUUCAUAGCUUUAGCAUUGAGCUGAGCCAUUUUUUUAUCAAACUCAUCCCAUUCACCUUCCGACUUAGGGAGGGACACACCAUCAAUCAACUUAGUGAGUGUGUGAGGUCCAUUCACUAUGAUACUCUAC